This is a long non-coding RNA of Onychostoma macrolepis, 704 nucleotides long. RefSeq lists it as uncharacterized. Lineage: Eukaryota; Metazoa; Chordata; Actinopteri; Cypriniformes; Cyprinidae. The record is from RefSeq and is a predicted model, not a curated record. The transcript has 4 exons.
GGAGCUACAGCGGAGACUGAGUGGUAGUGAAUGUAGACGUUUUAUAUUAUUUAAUGUUUAUAUUAUUCUACUUAAGAUCGCGUUGAAGUGGUUAAGGCUUACUGUAUCAUCAGUUGCCAUAUCCCUUUGCACGGCCGGUGUGAAACACGUGCUUUCUCUGCGUUAGAAAGCCGAAAAAGCCGAGGUUUUACCUGCAGACAUUGAUGAUAAAGGCUAUGGCAAUCGAUCAUAUAAUUGAUCUAAGUUGAAUCAUAUAAACAUUAAAUAUGUCUACAUUCACUACGGAACUCGGAUGAAAAUUAAACUGAAAUUCGUAAAUAUCGUCAUGAUCCCGUUGUUCCCAUCAUGCACUUGGGCAUGAAUAAUUCAUGAGGGUGAAGGAUCGCAGGGGAAAGGAGACCUGGGAAGCCCACUUCCUCUUGGCCUGCAAGAGGCCCUAAUUAGCACCGCUUUCCCACUCCAUUCAGAACAUACAGCUCUUCUGCAUGCCCAUUAUCAGUGCUGAAGUCAUCAAUCUCUGUUUUGUGUCAGCAUGUCUGCAGGACCUCCGGACCCUCUCUGUGGUUUUCCCAUCACCUGGUCCUAAUUGGGUCAGAUAUAUGUGUAUGGACAGACAUCUGUGAACACAAGCAUGCAGUGACAAGGAAGUACUGCCUGUUUGUGUCUCAUUUUUGAAAAUAUGAAUACUACAAUAACAUUCAAAU